Molecule: unclassified non-coding RNA, 359 nt
Filed under: uncultured fungus
Lineage: Eukaryota; Fungi
Description: partial contains small subunit ribosomal RNA, internal transcribed spacer 1, and 5.8S ribosomal RNA
Rfam family: Eukaryotic small subunit ribosomal RNA (bases 1-73)
Source: RNAcentral
GCAAACUUGGUCAUUUAGAGGAAGUAAAAGUCGUAACAAGGUCAUCGUAGGUGAACCUGCGGUGGGAUCAUCAAUAAUUCAAACUUAUACCACUUUAUGGUGUGAAUUUUGUGUUUUUUCUUGAAAUUUUCAUUUUCUUUGGGUAUCUUUCUUCUCAUUUCCCUCUUAGGAGGGGAAGGAGAAAGGGAGGUACUCGAGAGGAAAACAUCUGCACUUUAUAAAACGAGUGUCUUUAUUUUUAAUGGCUAAACCCAAACAUUUUCUUAUAUUUUGAAUACCAAGCUGUAAUGGCAUGGAAUUAAUUAUAUAAAACUAUUAAUGGUGGAUCACUUGGCUCUCGCAUCGAUGAAGAACGCAGC